UGCCCAGCAACUCCUAUCCCUACCUCCUCGUGAUUCUGGCCGGGAUACGAGCAACUUUAGGGAAGAACGGAAAAGCAACCCCGGUGGGAACUUUGGUGAUAUGCUGGCAGGAAGGG
Molecule: ribozyme, 116 nt
Filed under: Aedes aegypti (yellow fever mosquito)
Lineage: Eukaryota; Metazoa; Arthropoda; Insecta; Diptera; Culicidae
Description: drz-agam-1 ribozyme
Rfam family: drz-agam-1 ribozyme
Source: Rfam by way of RNAcentral